Molecule: ribosomal RNA, 253 nt
Filed under: uncultured bacterium
Lineage: Bacteria
Description: partial 16S ribosomal RNA
Rfam family: Bacterial small subunit ribosomal RNA
Source: RNAcentral
UACGGGGGGGGCAAGCGUUGUUCGGAAUUACUGGGCGUAAAGGGCUCGUAGGCGGCCAAUUAAGUCAGACGUGAAAUCCCUAGGCUUAACCGGGGAACUGCGUCUGAUACUGGAUGGCUUGAGUUCGGGAGAGGGAUGCGGAAUUCCAGGUGUAGCGGUGAAAUGCGUAGAUAUCUGGAGGAACACCGGUGGCGAAGGCGGCAUCCUGGGCCGACACUGACGCUGAGGAGCGAAAGCCAGGGGAGCAAACGGG